GCAAAAGGGAAGUAGACAUCAGAAAAACUCAAGAAUAUGGUAGGUGUUCUUCUGAAUCUUCCACCAUAGGAACACGCGCACGCCGGACUUCCUCUACCAUUAGGGUGGCUUGGGUGUGUAGGCAUGUCCCUUCCGCGCCGGCCUCCACAAGGACAGUAUGCACCGCUUCUCCUCCUGCCCUCGCAUCGCACGCUUCUAGAGCACGCCUUGCCCUGGGGCCGUUGUCGUUGACUUCGUCGCCUCCAUGAUCGACGUCUUCCGCUCCAUCACGCAGCCUGUCGCCGACAUCACCGUCGCCGUGGCGGCGCACCUCGCCCUCUGGAUCUACUGUGCUCCGCGACUCCUGGACACCUGGUGCACUGCACUCCUUGUGUCGCAGCCGCCCUGCAUGAUGCUCCCAUUUAAUCACUCGCCCGCUGCUCAAUC
This 426-nucleotide long non-coding RNA is filed under the name Setaria viridis. Its description in RNAcentral is "long non-coding RNA (SVIR_LNC008675)". The record is from RNAcentral. Lineage: Eukaryota; Viridiplantae; Streptophyta; Magnoliopsida; Poales; Poaceae.